RNAcentral lists this ribosomal RNA (507 nucleotides) under uncultured bacterium. RNAcentral describes it as "partial 16S ribosomal RNA". It matches the Rfam family "Bacterial small subunit ribosomal RNA", at positions 28 to 507 of the family's 1533-position model. The record is from RNAcentral.
GACGAACGCUGGCGGCGUGCCUAAUACAUGCAAGUCGAACGCAUUUUCUUUCACCGUAGCUUGCUACACCGAAAGAAAAUGAGUGGCGAACGGGUGAGUAACACGUGGGUAACCUGCCCAUCAGCGGGGGAUAACACUUGGAAACAGGUGCUAAUACCGCAUAAUUCCAUUUACCGCAUGGUAGAUGGAUGAAAGGCGCUUUUGCGUCACUGAUGGAUGGACCCGCGGUGCAUUAGCUAGUUGGUGGGGUAACGGCCUACCAAGGCUGCGAUGCAUAGCCGACCUGAGAGGGUGAUCGGCCACACUGGGACUGAGACACGGCCCAGACUCCUACGGGAGGCAGCAGUAGGGAAUCUUCGGCAAUGGACGCAAGUCUGACCGAGCAACGCCGCGUGAGUGAAGAAGGGUUUCGGAUCGUAAAACUCUGUUGUUAGAGAAGAACAAGGAUGAGAGUGGAAAGUUCAUCCCUUGACGGUAUCUAACCAGAAAGCCACGGCUAACUACGUG